GAGUUUGAUCAUGGCUCAGGAUGAACGCUGGCGGCGUGCUUAACACAUGCAAGUCGAACGAACCUUCGGGUUAGUGGCGGACGGGUGAGUAACGCGUGAGAAUCUGCCCUCAGGAGGGGGAUAACGGUUGGAAACGACCGCUAAUACCCCAUAUGCCGCGAGGUGAAAUGAAUUUCGCCUGAGGAUGAGCUCGCGUCUGAUUAGCUAGUUGGUGGGGUAAAGGCCUACCAAGGCAUCGAUCAGUAGCUGGUCUGAGAGGAUGAUCAGCCACACUGGGACUGAGACACGGCCCAGACUCCUACGGGAGGCAGCAGUGGGAAUUUUCCGCAAUGGGCGAAAGCCUGACGGAGCAACGCCGCGUGAGGGAUGAAGGCCUCUGGGCUGUAAACCUCUUUUAUCAAGGAAGAAGAUCUGACGGUACUUGAUGAAUAAGCCACGGCUAAUUCCGUGCCAGCAGCCGCGGUAAUACGGGAGUGGCAAGCGUUAUCCGGAAUUAUUGGGCGUAAAGCGUCCGCAGGCGGCCCUUCAAGUCUGCUGUUAAAAAGUGGAGCUUAACUCCAUCAUGGCAGUGGAAACUGUUGGGCUUGAGUGUGGUAGGGGCAGAGGGAAUUCCCGGUAUAGCGGUGAAAUGCGUAGAUAUCGGGAAGAACACCAGUGGCGAAGGCGCUCUGCUGGGCCAUCACUGACGCUCAUGGACGAAAGCCAGGGGAGCGAAAGGGAUUAGAUACCCCUGUAGUCCUGGCCGUAAACGAUGAACACUAGGUGUCGGGGGAAUCGACCCCCUCGGUGUCGUAGCCAACGCGUUAAGUGUUCCGCCUGGGGAGUACGCACGCAAGUGUGAAACUCAAAGGAAUUGACGGGGGCCCGCACAAGCGGUGGAGUAUGUGGUUUAAUUCGAUGCAACGCGAAGAACCUUACCAGGGUUUGACAUCCUGCGAAUCUCUUGGAAACGAGAGAGUGCCUUCGGGAGCGCAGUGACAGGUGGUGCAUGGCUGUCGUCAGCUCGUGUCGUGAGAUGUUGGGUUAAGUCCCGCAACGAGCGCAACCCACGUCUUUAGUUGCCAGCAUUUAGUUGGGCACUCUAGAGAGACCGCCGGUGAUAAACCGGAGGAAGGUGUGGAUGACGUCAAGUCAUCAUGCCCCUUACAUCCUGGGCUACACACGUACUACAAUGCUACGGACAAAGGGCAGCAAGUUCGCGAGGACAAGCAAAUCCCAUAAACCGUGGCUCAGUUCAGAUCGUAGGCUGCAACUCGCCUACGUGAAGGAGGAAUCGCUAGUAAUCGCAGGUCAGCAUACUGCGGUGAAUACGU
Molecule: ribosomal RNA, 1313 nt
Filed under: unidentified marine bacterioplankton
Lineage: Bacteria
Description: bacterial SSU rRNA
Rfam family: Bacterial small subunit ribosomal RNA
Source: RNAcentral